ACAAUGGUACUCCCGCCCAGCCACAACUCACGUAAUGGGGGCGGCUCCGUCAGACCGGCGGAGGGGUGAAACUCCCGUGA
RNAcentral lists this non-coding RNA (80 nucleotides) under bovine gut metagenome. RNAcentral's name for it is "pemK RNA". It matches the Rfam family "pemK RNA". The record is from RNAcentral.